AGAAAUAAGUUACAAGUAAGUUAUAUCAAUAAAAACAAAUUUUCGACGACUGAACUGUCAAAUUUCGUUUAUUAGUUCACAACGUUUGAAUGAAUUAGAGAAGAAUGAUUCCUUGAGUUUCUUGAAUACGACUGUACAUAGGGAUAGUGGUAUGCUUUAUACUAAUUGGUAUCGCAAACCAAAUUUUUCGGACAGUAGGUUCCAUGAAGUGAAUAUCAAUAUUGUAAAGAGCAUCCUUAUUAAUAAUUGUUAUCCAAUUGAUUUAAUUGAAAGAGUGAUUAAACAGUGCCUUGACACUCUAAGGUUUCGUAAGAACAACAAUGAAGAGACAUCACAAUCUACUCGGUAUAAACAUUUUAUUACAAUUCCUUUUUGCAAGUCAUACAGUGAUGACAUUAAUAGAAUUCUACGUAAUUCUGGUAUUGGUGUUGCACAUUCGGUGCCUAAGAAACUUAAUUGUAUUAUACGUAAAGGCAAGGAUAAAUUACUGCCGUGUAAGCAAACUAAUUUGGUUUACCAUAUAAAUUGUAACGAAUGUAAUGCUGUGUAUGUAGGGCAGACCAAGAGGUGGCUAGAAACCAGAGUUGGUGAACAUAGACAGAAUAUUAAGUGUUCGUUUCAGCAUUUCUCAGUGGUUUCUGAGCAUCGUCUUUCACUUAACCACGAAUUUGAUUGGUCUAGCCCUGAAAUUUUACAUAAGGAAACGCAUUGGCGUAAGCGAAACAUUGCUGAGAUGUUUUUUAUUAAAAAAUCAUUUAGCGCAAUUAAUCUUCAGACUGAUACUGAAAAUUUGUCCACUAUAGUCUUAUUUUUGAUCCGAGACAAUAGAGUAACCUUGACAUGAGACCAUCUCGUGUUUGUCUGUGUUCGUUAUUCCGCCAGUAUCAUUCGUUUGAUACGGACGUGUUGGUAGCAUGUUCCAAGACUUCAAAUGGUCUUUGUAAAUUUCAAUUUAUUUCUUUCACUUGAAAAGGACCACACCCCAUAUGGUCGAAACGUUGUGAACUAAUAAACGAAAUUUGCCAGUUCAGUCGUCGAAAAUUUGUUUUUAUUGAAAUUUCUUAUUACUGGCGUACACAAUUAUAAUUUGUAAGUUAUAUCAAUGCAAGAUAUAACUUGCUUAAAAAACAUUUGUA
Molecule: unclassified non-coding RNA, 1136 nt
Filed under: Ooceraea biroi (clonal raider ant)
Lineage: Eukaryota; Metazoa; Arthropoda; Insecta; Hymenoptera; Formicidae
Description: uncharacterized LOC105285429, transcript variant X3
Source: RNAcentral